This 2136-nucleotide long non-coding RNA is filed under the name Mytilus galloprovincialis (Mediterranean mussel). Lineage: Eukaryota; Metazoa; Mollusca; Bivalvia; Mytilida; Mytilidae. The record is from RNAcentral.
CGUGGGCGAAAAACUGGGUCACGAUUUGUCUGGAUGUGUGUCACUCUGUCAUGAAGAGUUCACGGAACAUUGAAGAAUAAAUCAAAAACAACUGAAAAUUAAUGGAGUUUAAUGCUGAAUUUUAACAUCAUAUAUAUAAUACAGGUAAAUUUCUUGCUUUUUGUCGCGAAAUUUAACUUAAUUUCGGUGUGCGGACACCAAACCGGCGAAAAAAUGCCGAGUUGUUUACGCCAAUGUGCUCCAUGUACUUUUUCACCCUGAACUUGGUUCGACAGAUGUAUCACGUACCCUUAAUUAAUUACAUGUUGAGUGACCAUCUGUUUCGGUCAAGACAGGUAGAAAAGAGUUAGUGUAGAGGAUUUGAGUAACAGAACAGUUACAGAUGACUUUGAAAGGUUGGAAAUCAAAACAAAAUAGAAAGUUGACAAAGGGGUACUAAGCAGGAGUUUUGUCUAUAGCUAUAUUUUGCAUAACAGUCAAUCAACCAUAGCUCUUUUAAUACUUUGAGAGAAAAAAAAAUAAUAUAGUAUAGUGUGCAUACACAGAGAUAAAACUAUUUUUUCCUAUUUAUUUAGUGUACCUGUGUAUACAUGCAUGUAAUUUUAAUUUCAUUUGAAGAAUAACAAACUAAAGCAACAUAACACCCCUGCAGGCCUACUACAUCACAUUACAUACAUUGUAAGUGUUUCAUGUGACCAACUUUUAAAGGAGCAUCACACAAUUCAAUUUAGAUUAAAGAACCUUAGGUAACCGGUGAAAUAAGUCCUUCAGGAACAUAUUAAGAAUAAAUCAUGUCACUUUCUUUUAACCACAUAUUUGGAUAUUUUUAGAUGCUAGGAGAAAAAAAUUAAAUUUGUUCAACAAACCAGAGCGAUUUCCCCCUAUGUUUUUGUUUUUCUCUAUGAUAAAUGAUGAUAUAUUUAGUCAGAUCCUGUCUUUGAGCCGUUUCAUCAAUCUCAUGGUUAACAGGGUUCCUUUUGGAAGAGGCCUAGGUCACUCCAAAACCCAACAGACUCAUACCAUGCUUACCGUAAAUACUAGUUAAAUUUUCAUAUAAUGUACUCCAAUUUCCCAGUAUCUUUUACAACUACAUUUGUACCAGUAUCAUGACUACAAAAAAGGGGCGUAAGAUACAUUUGUACCAUGGACAUUCGAACUCAUCAAUAAAAAAUAAAUUGACAACACCAAGGCUAAAAAGAAAGAAAAAAAACAGACAAACAGUAGUACACAAAAAAACAUGUAUUAUGCUUCUUCAAUUUUUCUGUGCAUUCAUUGAAUAUACACGUGUAUAAGGACUUUUAUCACUGUGUUUUUACUCCCUUGCUGCUACAAUGUACACCAUGUACCCCAUUGACUGUCGUUCCAAAAGAAUUGUCACAUAUUAAAUUAGCAAGAGCUUGGACAUUCAUGGCCUUAGACACAUUCUUGUAUUAUUUCAUCAUUUUAUUGGACUUGUUUAUACUUGUUAUUUUCAGGUUUUGCACAACAUUCCCUCUAGGGGUGCACAAAUUAGCUAUGAGACUUUGUGUGUUGCCUCUAGGGGUGCACAAAUUAGCUAUAAGACUUUGUGUGUUGCUUCAUAAUUUGUAUCUUUUUUAAAUUUGGGGACUCCUUUUGUAUAAACUUUGAUAAUGAAGAUGGUGUAAUAAGGUAUGAACUCAGAAUAAUGGUAGAUGGUGAGCCUCAUCAGACAUGGACAUGAAACGAAGUGAGAUGGUGGGAAAUGGAAUCCCAUCGAAAUGGGAAAAGAUAUAUUCAAAUUUCCAUGUAUCGAAAUUGGAAAAAAUAUAUAUAUAAUACAUAAAUAUUUAAAUUUUUAUGUAUGCAUUUUCUUCAACAAUGUUGAAUGCAUGAAAUAUGUACCAUUAAAGAUAACUGCAUAUAUAAAUUUUAUACUUUUGUACAUUUCUGUUGUAUGAACUGAUGAGGGAUGAAUGUUAAAUAGUAUUCUGCGCCCACACUUGUAGAUAUGCUAUUUGGUCAGUAUACAAAUUAUACUAAUAACAUAUUUUUUUUAUCUUGUAGACUUUUGCAGAAGGCGCUGGCGAUGGCCUUAUGAAAAAAGUUUCAGAUUUGGGUUCCACACUAUUAUGAAUACUACCACAAUGGGCAAAGAGGCAAGCUUGGAUGGAUUAG